AUACUUACCUGGCAGGGGAGACGCCAUGAUCACCAAGGUGGUUUUCCAGGGCGAGGCUUACCCAUUGCGCUCCGCAUGUGCAGGCCCCGGCGAUUUCCCCAAAUGUGGGAAACUCGACUGCAUGAUUUGGGGGGAAGGCGGGGACUGUGUUCACACUCUCCCCUA
Small nuclear RNA from Myotis daubentonii (Daubenton's bat), 165 nucleotides. RefSeq annotates it as U1 spliceosomal RNA. The record is from RefSeq and is a predicted model, not a curated record. NCBI's taxonomy places the organism in Eukaryota, Metazoa, Chordata, Mammalia, Chiroptera, Vespertilionidae.